GUAAUACGUAGGGGCGAGCNUUUUCCGGAUUNUUGGNGUAAAGGGUUUCGCAGGCGGUNUUUAAGUCAGAUGUUAAAUGCAUANGCUCAACCUAUGAGUGCAUUUGAAACUGGAAGACCUGAGUUAAGGAGAGGAAAGUGGAAUUCCUAGUGUAGCGGUGAAAUGCUUAGAUAUUAGGAAGAACACCGGUGGCGAAGGCGGCCUACUGGACCAAAACUGACACUGAGGCUCGAAAGCGUGGGUAGCAAACAGGAUUAGAUACCCUGGUAGUCCACGCUGUAAACGAUGAAUACUAGGUGCCGGGAGCCAUAAGGUUUUCGGUGCCGUCGCAAACGCACUAAGUAUUCCACCUGGGGAGUACGUUCGCAAGAAUGAAACUCAAAGGAAUUGACGGGGACCCGCACAAGCGGUGGAGCAUGUGGUUUAAUUCG
This 431-nucleotide ribosomal RNA is filed under the name uncultured bacterium. RNAcentral's name for it is "bacterial SSU rRNA". It matches the Rfam family "Bacterial small subunit ribosomal RNA", at positions 520 to 953 of the family's 1533-position model. The record is from RNAcentral.